RNAcentral lists this transfer RNA (96 nucleotides) under Dipodomys ordii (Ord's kangaroo rat). It matches the Rfam family "tRNA". From Rfam's summary of the family: Transfer RNA (tRNA) molecules are approximately 80 nucleotides in length. Their secondary structure includes four short double-helical elements and three loops (D, anti-codon, and T loops). Further hydrogen bonds mediate the characteristic L-shaped molecular structure. tRNAs have two regions of fundamental functional importance: the anti-codon, which is responsible for specific mRNA codon recognition, and the 3' end, to which the tRNAs corresponding amino acid is attached (by aminoacyl-tRNA synthetases). tRNAs cope with the degeneracy of the genetic code in two manners: having more than one tRNA (with a specific anti-codon) for a particular amino acid; and 'wobble' base-pairing, i.e. permitting non-standard base-pairing at the 3rd anti-codon position. Lineage: Eukaryota; Metazoa; Chordata; Mammalia; Rodentia; Heteromyidae. The record is from Rfam by way of RNAcentral.
GGGAAUGUGGCUUAAUGGUAGAGUGCUUGCCUGGCAUGCAUGAGAUCCUGAAUAAAUAUGUGAAUAAAUAAAAAAAAGUACAAAACUUUAUUUCCA